RNAcentral lists this ribosomal RNA (500 nucleotides) under uncultured bacterium. RNAcentral describes it as "partial 16S ribosomal RNA". It matches the Rfam family "Bacterial small subunit ribosomal RNA", at positions 30 to 523 of the family's 1533-position model. The record is from RNAcentral.
AUUGAACGCUGGCGGAAUGCUUUACACAUGCAAGUCGAACGGCAGCACGGACUUCGGUCUGGUGGCGAGUGGCGAACGGGUGAGUAAUGUAUCGGAACGUGCCCAGUCGUGGGGGAUAACGUAGUGAAAAUUACGCUAAUACCGCAUACGAUCUAUGGAUGAAAGCGGGGGAUCGCAAGACCUCGCGCGAUUGGAGCGGCCGAUAUCAGAUUAGGUAGUUGGUGGGGUAAAGGCCCACCAAGCCAACGAUCUGUAGCUGGUCUGAGAGGACGACCAGCCACACUGGAACUGAGACACGGGCCAGACUCCUACGGGAGGCAGCAUUGGGGAAUUUUGGACAAUGGGCGAAAGCCUGAUCCAGCCAUUCCGCGUGCAGGAUGAAGGCCCUCGGGUUGUAAACUGCUUUUGUACAGAACAAAAAGGUUUCUACUAAUACUAGGAGCUCAUGACGGUACUGUAAGAAUAAGCACCGGCUAACUACGUGCCAGCCGCCGCCGUAA